GACGAACGCUGGCGGCGUGCCUAAUACAUGCAAGUUGAGCGCUGAAGGUUGGUACUUGUACCGACUGGAUGAGCAGCGAACGGGUGAGUAACGCGUGGGGAAUCUGCCUUUGAGCGGGGGACAACAUUUGGAAACGAAUGCUAAUACCGCAUAAAAACUUUAAACACAAGUUUUAAGUUUGAAAGAUGCAAUUGCAUCACUCAAAGAUGAUCCCGCGUUGUAUUAGCUAGUUGGUGAGGUAAAGGCUCACCAAGGCGAUGAUACAUAGCCGACCUGAGAGGGUGAUCGGCCACAUUGGGACUGAGACACGGCCCAAACUCCUACGGGAGGCAGCAGUAGGGAAUCUUCGGCAAUGGACGAAAGUCUGACCGAGCAACGCCGCGUGAGUGAAGAAGGUUUUCGGAUCGUAAAACUCUGUUGGUAGAGAAGAACGUUGGUGAGAGUGGAAAAGCUCAUCAAAGUGACGGUAACUACCCCAGA
This 480-nucleotide ribosomal RNA is filed under the name Lactococcus lactis. Its description in RNAcentral is "bacterial SSU rRNA". It matches the Rfam family "Bacterial small subunit ribosomal RNA", at positions 28 to 488 of the family's 1533-position model. Lineage: Bacteria; Bacillati; Bacillota; Bacilli; Lactobacillales; Streptococcaceae. The record is from RNAcentral.